This 895-nucleotide non-coding RNA is filed under the name Pan troglodytes (chimpanzee). The record is from RNAcentral. Lineage: Eukaryota; Metazoa; Chordata; Mammalia; Primates; Hominidae.
GGAGGCCGAGGCUGUAGGUGGGCUCCGCUGGGUAAAAGUUGCCGCAGCAGCUGUCCCUUGGCCCCAUCCCGAUUUAUCUUUCCCCCUUGCUUUCCGGGUCCCGGGAUCCCAAGUUUUGUAACUAACGGGAGCGAAUCCACACCCGAGCAAAAUGUUUGCGAGUUUCAGGCGCCCUUAGUUGAAAGGCUGUAACGUAAUUAACAAGUCCGCUGUUUGCCAGCCAGGCGCCGUUGCAGGCGCUUUCUGUGGAUUGUCAUUUAUUUCUCACAGCAACUCUAGGAGAUGAAAUUGAAUCAUGGAAGAAUGCCUUUAUCUGAGGAGUCAUCACCACUAGGGAGCUAUGGAGGCUGUUAUCCUUGACAUCUGCAGCAGCCCUUCCAAGCUGUGGAGACCAGGUCAUCUGGAAUGCCCAUUUAUGUCAAUGGAAGAAAGAAAAAGGGGUCUCCUCCCAUCCUCACCACUGCAUUCUUUCUCCCACCAACCCUGCUCCUGUCCCACUUCCCACAACUCAGUUGUUGACAAUUGAACAGUGGGUUUCUGGAAACAGUGCUGCCUCCUUGAUGGUCUAACUACCAGAGUUAUUCUAACGGCAGGAAUUUCAAGCCAGGUAAGGGGAGCCAUGUCAGGCUGCCAGAUGGUGGGGAAGACAGGUGUGGGUGAGCUGGCUUCAGACUAAAGGAAGAGGGGAUCAAGUGUUGGGAUCCCAUUUGAGAAAAGGAGUCAAGUGAACUUCAUUACCCAUUAUAGAGGCCUGUUAUAUCCUUUAGUGCUAUUUGAACUUGGAUUGAACCUGUGACAAAUCCUUUUCUUAUGCUUCUUCCAUCCCUGCUUCCAUGUUAUAUCCUUUCCCCUUCUAAAAUGGUAAUAAUGAGAAAUAGCUAUUACUAAUUACCCU